Molecule: ribosomal RNA, 327 nt
Filed under: uncultured eukaryote
Lineage: Eukaryota
Description: partial 18S ribosomal RNA
Rfam family: Eukaryotic small subunit ribosomal RNA
Source: RNAcentral
CCCUUAGAUGUUCUGGGCCGCACACGCGCUACACUGAAGGAGGCAGCGUGUACUCCUGGAUCGAAAGAUUUGGGUAACCCGCGAAUCUCCUUCGUGCUAGGGAUUGAGGUUUGCAAUUAUCCUUCAUGAACGAGGAAUUCCCAGUAAGUGCAAGUCAUAAGCUUGCGCUGACUACGUCCCUGCCCUUUGUACACACCGCCCGUCGCUACGACCGAUUGAAUGAUUUAGUGAGGACUUCGGACUGGGACCGAUGCGGCUUUCGGGCUGCGUCGGUAUUCUGGAAAGAUGUCCAAACUGUAUCAUUUAGAGGAAGUAAAAGUCGUAACA